CAGCCGCCGCGGGAAUACGGGGGGGGCAAGUGUUAUUCGGAAUGACUGGGCGUAAAGGGCACGUAGGCGGUGAAAAGGGUGGAAAGUGAAAGUCGCCAAAACACUGGCGGGGUGCUUUCUUGACCAUUUCACUUGAGUGAGAUAGGGGAGAGUGGAAUUUCGUGUGGAGGGAUCAAAUCCUAAGAUAUACGAAGGAACGCCAACCGCGAAGGCAGCUCUCUGGGUCCCCGCUGACGCUGGGGUGCGAAAGCAUGGGGAGAAAACAGGAUCAGAUACCCCGGUAGUCCCUGUCUCUUAUACC
RNAcentral lists this ribosomal RNA (301 nucleotides) under uncultured bacterium. RNAcentral's name for it is "partial 16S ribosomal RNA". It matches the Rfam family "Bacterial small subunit ribosomal RNA", at positions 509 to 808 of the family's 1533-position model. The record is from RNAcentral.